RNAcentral lists this ribosomal RNA (253 nucleotides) under uncultured bacterium. RNAcentral describes it as "partial 16S ribosomal RNA". It matches the Rfam family "Bacterial small subunit ribosomal RNA", at positions 524 to 776 of the family's 1533-position model. The record is from RNAcentral.
UACAGAGGUGGCAAGCGUUGUUCGGAAUUACUGGGCGUAAAGGGCGCGUAGGCGGUCCGAUAAGUCCCGUGUGAAAUCCCUCGGCUCAACUGAGGAAUGGCACGGGAAACUGCCGGGCUUGAGUUCGGGAGAGGGAAGCGGAAUUCCGGGUGUAGCGGUGAAAUGCGUAGAUAUCUGGAGGAAUACCGGUGGCGAAGGCGGCAUCCUGGACCGGCAUUGACGCUGAGGAGCGAAAGCUAGGGGAGCAAACGGG